Molecule: unclassified non-coding RNA, 378 nt
Filed under: soil metagenome
Description: partial contains 5.8S ribosomal RNA, internal transcribed spacer 2, and large subunit ribosomal RNA
Rfam family: 5.8S ribosomal RNA (bases 1-120)
Source: RNAcentral
GAUGAAGAACGCAGCGAAAUGCGAUAAGUAAUGUGAAUUGCAGAAUUCAGUGAAUCAUCGAAUCUUUGAACGCACCUUGCACCCUUUGGUAUUCUGAAGGGUAUGCUCGUUUGAGUGUCAUUGUACUCUCACACUCCCGAUCUUGAGUUGGGAGCGGUGGACUUGGGCUUGCUGCUUUACUGUAGCUCACCUCAAAUGUGUUAGUGCAGCUCUUGGUUGGACAUAGUACGGCGUGAUAAGUAUCUUCGCCGGUGCCUCGCAAAGAGGGUGGCCGAUUGGGAUGUUGUGCUCCAAACUGUCUUCGGACAAUCUCUGACAACUUGACCUCAAAUCGAGUAAGACUACCCGCUGAACUUAAGCAUAUCAAUAAGCGGAGGA